UGGAAAGGCGCGCGAUACAGGGUGACAGCCCCGUACACAAAAAUGCACAUGCUGUGAGCUCGAUGAGUAGGGCGGGACACGUGGUAUCCUGUCUGAAUAUGGGGGGACCAUCCUCCAAGGCUAAAUACUCCUGACUGACCGAUAGUGAACCAGUACCGUGAGGGAAAGGCGAAAAGAACCCCGGCGAGGGGAGUGAAAAAGAACCUGAAACCGUGUACGUACAAGCAGUGGGAGCACGCUUAGGCGUGUGACUGCGUACCUUUUGUAUAAUGGGUCAGCGACUUAUAUUCUGUAGCAAGGUUAACCGAAUAGGGGAGCCGAAGGGAAACCGAGUCUUAACUGGGCGUUAAGUUGCAGGGUAUAGACCCGAAACCCGGUGAUCUAGCCAUGGGCAGGUUGAAGGUUGGGUAACACUAACUGGAGGACCGAACCGACUAAUGUUGAAAAAUUAGCGGAUGACUUGUGGCUGGGGGUGAAAGGCCAAUCAAACCGGGAGAUAGCUGGUUCUCCCCGAAAGCUAUUUAGGUAGCGCCUCGUGAAUUCAUCUCCGGGGGUAGAGCACUGUUUCGGCAAGGGGGUCAUCCCGACUUACCAACCCGAUGCAAACUGCGAAUACCGGAGAAUGUUAUCACGGGAGACACACGGCGGGUGCUAACGUCCGUCGUGAAGAGGGAAACAACCCAGACCGCCAGCUAAGGUCCCAAAGUCAUGGUUAAGUGGGAAACGAUGUGGGAAGGCCCAGACAGCCAGGAUGUUGGCUUAGAAGCAGCCAUCAUUUAAAGAAAGCGUAAUAGCUCACUGGUCGAGUCGGCCUGCGCGGAAGAUGUAACGGGGCUAAACCAUGCACCGAAGCUGCGGCAGCGACGCUUAUGCGUUGUUGGGUAGGGGAGCGUUCUGUAAGCCUGUGAAGGUGUACUGUGAGG
This 923-nucleotide ribosomal RNA is filed under the name Escherichia coli. Its description in RNAcentral is "partial 23S ribosomal RNA". It matches the Rfam family "Bacterial large subunit ribosomal RNA", at positions 343 to 1268 of the family's 2925-position model. Lineage: Bacteria; Pseudomonadati; Pseudomonadota; Gammaproteobacteria; Enterobacterales; Enterobacteriaceae. The record is from RNAcentral.